This 359-nucleotide long non-coding RNA is filed under the name Nicotiana benthamiana. Its description in RNAcentral is "long non-coding RNA (NBEN_LNC027942)". The record is from RNAcentral. Lineage: Eukaryota; Viridiplantae; Streptophyta; Magnoliopsida; Solanales; Solanaceae.
ACCUGUAUUUCUAGUUUCUUCAUUGUUAUCUUCAAGAGACUCACUGUUCAAGGAAUCAUUUGCCAAUUUCAACCUCUGGAUCUCAUCCUGUAGGAAUUUCAUCUCUUCCUUAUAACUAUCUAUUAAUGGCAGGUCAGCAACACCUUCAGACUCGCUUGUUACAAAAUUGUCAUCCUGUAGGAACUUAAUCUCUUCCUUAUAACUAUCUAUUGAUGGCAGCUCAGCAACACCUUCAGAAUCACUUGAUACAAAAUUGCGCGCAGAACGAGCACCCUCUAUAUGCAUUUUUAAUGAAGUUAUUUCAGCUCUGCAUUCAUUCAAUUCUUGUCUUUGCCUAUCUAGAGAUUGCUUCAAGGUUU